Pseudoliparis swirei is the source of this 332-nucleotide long non-coding RNA. RefSeq lists it as uncharacterized. The transcript has 3 exons. The record is from RefSeq and is a predicted model, not a curated record. NCBI's taxonomy places the organism in Eukaryota, Metazoa, Chordata, Actinopteri, Perciformes, Liparidae.
ACGCGGUCUGAGUCGAUCACAGCCAGCAACACCCUGCCGAGCGCCGCCCUGCUCUUAUCAGCCGGCCGUGUGUUUGUAGGUCAGACGGUGUCCUGUUCUCAUGUGAGGGCGGCACUUUGUGACUUGGGACACAUUCACAGUGAGCUGGCAAAAUGGUUAAUGAGUAACUCAGCAUCUGAAACGCCCUCCGUGUUUGAAGACAGUCCACGACCCAAAAAACAACAAGAACAAGGAUAAACCAGAGGAACGUGAAACAGGUGAUGAUAAGUGUCUUACCGUCGGCCCUGAGGGUCAGCAGCAGAGCGGCGGCAAACACGGCCCACCAGAGCGGC